GUGUGUGCUUGUGUGUGUACCAGCCAUUGAGAAAGGUGUGUAUUGUGUGUGUGCUUGUGUGUGUACCAGCCAUUGAGAUAGGUGUGUAUUGUGUGUGUGUGCUUGUGUGUGUACCAGCCAUUGAGAUAGGUGUGUAUUGUGUGUGUGCUUGUGUGUGUACCAGCCAUUGAGAAAGGUGUGUAUUGUGUGUGUGUGCUUGUGUGUGUACCAGCCAUUGAGAUAGGUGUGUAUUGUGUGUGUGCUUGUGUGUGUACCAGCCAUUGAGAAAGGUGUGUAUUGUGUGUGUGCUUGUGUGUGUACCAGCCAUUGAGAAAGGUGUGUAUUGUGUGUGUGCUUGUGUGUGUACCAGCCAUUGAGAAAGGUGUAUAUUGUGUGUGUGUGCUUGUGUGUGUACCAGCCAUUGAGAAAGGUGUAUAUUGUGUGUGUGUGCUUGUGUGUGUACCAGCCAUUGAGAUAGGUGUGUAUAUUGUGUGUGUGUGCUUGUGUGUGUACCAGCCAUUGAGAUAGGUGUAUAUUGUGUGUGUGUGUGCUUGUGUGUGUAUCAGCCAUUGAGAUAGGUGUAUACUGAUACUUCAUUGCCAUUAUUUUAACUUGUAUUUCCUUAAUGAUUAAUGAUAUUGAACAUCUUUCUGUGCUUUGGAGAUUUUUUGUGUGUGUGGUUAGUUAGUUAGUUAGUUGAAAGGUAAGUUACAGAGAGAGGGAGAGAUAGGAAGAGAGAGAGAUUUUUCAUCUUCUGGUUCACUCCCCAGAAGGCUGGGCAGGAAGAAGCCAGGAGUCCAGAACCCCAUCCGGAUCUCCCACAUGGGUGCAGGGGCCCAAGCACUUGGACCAUCUUCCACUGCUCUCCCAGGGCAUUAUCAGGGAGCUGGAUUGGAAGUGGAGUAACUGGGACUCCAACUGGCACUCCUAUGGGAAUACCAGUAUUGCAGGCCAUCACUUAACCCACCUUGACACAAGGCCAACCCCAGGAUUUUUUUAAAUUACAAAUUCAGAAGUCUUUAGUAGUUUCAGGGCUAUUUAUAUCAUGUAUCUCAUAUUAAGUGAGUUGUGACUUUCAAGCAAUGAGUGCAUUUCUUCAAAAUUAUCAAAUCAUAUAUGUGUGGAGUUACUGGUUGUGUUCCCUUUUAAGUCGCAGGAUUUGUCAUUAUUCCUGCUGUUUAAUCUGAAUUACCUCUCUUUCCUUUGUCAGUCUUGCUGCAGGUUUGUCAAUUUUAUUGAUCUUCUUAAGAACAAGCAUUUAGUUCCAUUGGUUUUUCCCUAUUUUUGUUUCCAAUUUAAUCGAUAUCUGCUUUUGUUACCUUUUCUGUCAAAUGAAGCUAAUCUUAUUCAUCUCAGAGUUGUGAGAAUUAAAUGAAAUAGUAUAUAUAAUAUAACUAUCUAGAGCAGAACUUGAAAUGUGAGUAUUCUUUUUUUUUUUUUUUUUUUUGACAGAGUUAGUGAGAGAGAGAGAGACAGAGAGAAAGGUCUUCCUUCCGUUGGUUCACCCCUCAAAUGGCCGCUACAACCUGCGUGCUGCGCCAAUCCAAAGCCAGGAGCCAGGUGCUUCCUCCUGGUCUCCCAUGCAGGUGCAGGGCCCAAGCACUUGGGCCAUCCUCCACUGCCUUCCCGGGCCACAGCAGAGAGUUGGACUGGAAGAGGGGCAACUGGGACAGAAUCCGGCACCCCGACCGGGACUAGAACCCGGGGUGCCGGCACCACAGGUGGAGGAUUAGCCAAGUGAGCCACAGUGCCGGCCCGAAAUGUGAAUAUUCUUAGAAAGUAUUUUUCCCCCUUGAGCUAUCUUCCUUAAUAGAAUGUCUUACUUAGGCAUUAUGGCAGUUUAAAAAAAAGCACCUGUCUGCCUCAGUGUGUGGAGCAGUAGACUGGUGUUUCAGGCUGUCCCUUCUUUUUUAACUUUCUAAAUGUUUAGUUAUUUGAAAGGCAGAAUGAUAGAGAGGUAGAGGUGGGAAAAGAGAUCUUUCAUUGGCUAAUUCAUUCCCCCAGAUGGCUGCAACAGCUGGAACUGGGUCAGGCUGAAGCCAGGAACAAGGAACUCCAUCUGGGUUUCCCACAUGGGUGGCAAGAGCUCAAGCCUCCCAGCCACAUUAACAGGGAGCUGAUCAGAAGUGGAGUAACUGGACUGAGACCAGCACUCCUAUAUGGACUGUGGGCAUUCCAAGCAGGAGGGUUAACUCCUGGGCCAUGACGCCUGCCCCAGGCUUUCCAGUCUUGAGAUUUUUCUUUCUCUUUUCUUCAAAAUGACAUUCAACUCAAGUCUAGAUUUGCACAGAUACAAAUUUAAUAGUAAUAAGAGUUGUUUAGUUUUGCAAAAUAUCUCUCAGCCACCACGGCCACUGUUGUAAAUACCGCAAGGAUUCCUGAGUGUUCUGGAACCACCUGUUGGGUAAUUAAGAAAAGAAUUAAAAUGGAAAGUGGACACUUGGCACCUCUGGUCAAGUGUCAGAAUCUACUGCAUUCAUUCUAAGACCUAUUUAGUGAAUUAAAUCAUUUCUGCUGUCUCUCAAGGAGAGCUCCUAUUGGGCUCCGUUUCCAGUAUGGGCACCAAUACAACCCACAGACACUCCCAGCAUUGGAACAAUGUCCCUUUCUGUUUCAAGGACAAAGAGAAGAAAAAGGAAGUGUUUCGCUGGGGCCAGAUGAUAUUACACAUAACAGGAGAUGCCUAGGAGUUUUGCUGUGUGCACACACGCAUUUAUAACAUAUUACACAUGUAUAUUUAGAUUAUAUGCACUUGUAUCAGAAUAUCUAUGCAGUAUAUAUACCAAUUAAAUAUUAUCUAUAUACCAUAAAUACAGGAUAAAUAUAUUCAUAAUGUUAUAAAUAUACUAAAAUAGACAAUACAUUUAUAUUAUGAGGAUAUUUCAGAAAGUUCAUUAAAGAAUGGAAUUAAAAGAUAACUUUAUUUUUAAGGACUCUUGCAUGUAUAUAUAACAAAGCCACACCUCCAAUUUUUUUUUUUAUUUGACAGAUAGAGUUAGACAGUGUGAGAGACAAAGAGAGAAAGGUCCUCCCUCUGUCAGCUCACCCCCAAAAUGGCUGCUACGGCCAGAACUAUGCUGAUCCAAAGCCAGGAGCCAGGAGCCUGAUGCCUCCUCCAGUCUCCCAUGUGGAUGCAGGGGCCCAAGCACCUGGGCCACCCUCCACUGCCCUCCCCGGACACAGCAGAGAGCUGGACUGGAAGAGGAGCAGCCAGGACUAGAACCCGGCGCCCAUAUGGGAUGCUGGUGCCACAGGCGGAGGAUUAACCAAGUGAGCGUCGGUGCCGGACCUCACACCUCCAAUUUGAAUGUAACAUCUCAGAGUUCUUUCUAGCCUUGUCCCUUACUAUAUUAACCAUCAUCUCUGAUGAUGUUAGUGAGAUGCACGGUGCUGAUUACUGUUAUUUGGUUUGCUGUUUGCUCAAAUAGCCAAUCUCUGGAACCCUGUCUCUGCCACCUCCACCCAACUCCCCAGCCACUGCCCUCCAGCCUAAGGCCCACCAACCUGAACCUCCUUUCACUGCCGCACACUCAGCUGUAGGAAAGAUCGGCCCAGGACCUACCUUUGGUUUUUAUUAUUAUUUUUUAAAUUUUUACUUAUUUUGUUUGAAAGGAGAAAGGCAGACGCAGAGAAAGACAGCAAAAUGACCCAUCUUCUGUUUCACUCCCCAAACGCUCCAACAGCUGGGGCUGGACCAGGCCGAAGCCAGGAGCCAGGAGUCAGGAAAUCAAUCCAGAUCUCCCACAUGGGUGGUGGGGACCUGAGUACUUGCUACCUCCUUGUGUGUGCAUUAGCAGGAAGUUGGAAUCGUGAACAGAGUCAAGACUAAUGCUCAGACACUCUGAUGCAAGUGUUCCAAGCUGUGACCUAACCACUAUGCCAGAUGCCUGUCCCUUACUAUGGUGUAUUAUCAAGCCAAUUAAGGGUGAUUUUUAGGGAGUUGGGCAUUUAGUGAUGAGGACACUACUUGCAAUGCCCACAUUUGGUUUAAGAGGCCUAGGUUUGAAUUCCAGCUCUUUUUCUGAUUCCAGCUUCCUACAAAUAUAUACCCUGUGAGGUAAUAGGUAAUGACUCAAAUACUUGAGUUCCUGUGUGGGAGACCCAGAUUGAGUUCCUGGCUUCUGGCUCUGGUCUGGCCAAGCUCCAGCUGUUCCAGGCAUUUGGAGAGUGAACCAGUAGAUGGGAGAUCUCUCUGUCUGUUUCUCGCUCUCUCUCUCCUCCCCCCCCCCGCCCCAC
Molecule: non-coding RNA, 4215 nt
Organism: Oryctolagus cuniculus (rabbit)
Lineage: Eukaryota; Metazoa; Chordata; Mammalia; Lagomorpha; Leporidae
Source: RefSeq, a predicted model, not a curated record